UACGGAGGGUGCAAGCGUUAUCCGGAUUCACUGGGUUUAAAGGGUGCGUAGGCGGGCAGGUAAGUCCGUGGUGAAAUCUCUGAGCUUAACUCAGAAACUGCCAUGGAUACUAUUUGUCUUGAAUAUUGUGGAGGUAAGCGGAAUAUGUCAUGUAGCGGUGAAAUGCUUAGAUAUGACAUAGAACACCAAUUGCGAAGGCAGCUUACUACACAGUUAUUGACGCUGAGGCACGAAAGCGUGGGGAUCAAACAG
This 252-nucleotide ribosomal RNA is filed under the name uncultured prokaryote. RNAcentral describes it as "partial 16S ribosomal RNA". It matches the Rfam family "Bacterial small subunit ribosomal RNA", at positions 524 to 775 of the family's 1533-position model. The record is from RNAcentral.